UGUGUCAGCCGCCGCGGUAAUACGGAGGUGGCAAGCGUUGUUCGGAAUUACUGGGCGUAAAGGGCGCGUAGGCGGCAUGGCAAGUCAGAUGUGAAAGCCCCAGGCUUAACCUGGGAAUUGCAUCUGAAACUGCUUUGCUUGAGUCCUGGAGGGGGUAGUGGAAUUCCCAGUGUAGCGGUGAAAUGCGUAGAUAUUGGGAGGAACACCUGCGGCGAAGGCGGCUACCUGGACAGUGACUGACGCUGAGGCGCGAAAGCUAGGGGAGCGAACAGGAUUAGAUACCCUGGUAGUCCUAGCUGUAAACGAUGGGCACUUGGUGUUGGGGGUAUUGAGUCCCCCGGUGCCGGAGUUAACACGUUAAGUGCCCCGCCUGGGGAGUACGGUCGCAAGACUGAAACUUAAAGGAAUUGGCGGGGGAC
This 419-nucleotide ribosomal RNA is filed under the name uncultured bacterium. RNAcentral's name for it is "bacterial SSU rRNA". It matches the Rfam family "Bacterial small subunit ribosomal RNA", at positions 504 to 921 of the family's 1533-position model. The record is from RNAcentral.